CCCUGAGAUGCUCACCCACCUCUUAGACCCCACCUCCCCAGCCCACCUGAUGAAACCAGCUUCACCAAACAUCUGUCUCCUGCCCCUACAGAGCAAGCACUCCUCUUUCUCUCCUGGUGAGUCUACAUCAAGGACUUUCAUCAUGAAGAUCAAGAGGAGGUACUCUGUGACCAGGGACAGCUUCCCUGUUCCAAGAUGAUACUGGGAGACGGCGUUCAGUUAAGAAGCUGAGUUACUCUUUCUGUGUGAGCCUUUGGAAAUGCCAGGUAAUGGCUUCUAUACGUCUACUGCAGGAAGGCCUGUGUUGAGACUAGGGUGGAUGAGGGCUGCAGAUGGCCAAGGAGGAUGGGAGCGGCAGGAACAGAGGCUAAGAGCUGAGACCUGAGAAAGACAAGCUCAGCAUCUGGGAGAAGAAUCCCAAGAAUUUGUGGAGAUGCUACACAGACCCCUGAAGAAUUCUAUUCCCAGUUGCUAAAGGAUAGAGGUGUCCUAAACGUGGGUUGGAUCCCUGAUCUGGGAAGAUCUCACAUAUGGCAGAGCAAAUAAGCCUGUGUGCCGCAACUACUGAGCCUGUGCUCUAGAGCCUGAAAGCCACAACUACUGAAG
This is a long non-coding RNA of Bubalus bubalis (water buffalo), 606 nucleotides long. RefSeq lists it as uncharacterized. The transcript is spliced from 3 exons. NCBI's taxonomy places the organism in Eukaryota, Metazoa, Chordata, Mammalia, Artiodactyla, Bovidae. The record is from RefSeq and is a predicted model, not a curated record.